AAAUUGAAGAGUUUGAUCAUGGCUCAGAUUGAACGCUGGCGGCAGGCCUAACACAUGCAAGUCGAGCGGUAGCACAGAGAGCUUGCUCUCGGGUGACGAGCGGCGGACGGGUGAGUAAUGUCUGGGAAACUGCCUGAUGGAGGGGGAUAACUACUGGAAACGGUAGCUAAUACCGCAUAACGUCGCAAGACCAAAGUGGGGGACCUUCGGGCCUCAUGCCAUCAGAUGUGCCCAGAUGGGAUUAGCUAGUAGGUGGGGUAACGGCUCACCUAGGCGACGAUCCCUAGCUGGUCUGAGAGGAUGACCAGCCACACUGGAACUGAGACACGGUCCAGACUCCUACGGGAGGCAGCAGUGGGGAAUAUUGCACAAUGGGCGCAAGCCUGAUGCAGCCAUGCCGCGUGUGUGAAGAAGGCCUUCGGGUUGUAAAGCACUUUCAGCGGGGAGGAAGGCGUUAAGGUUAAUAACCUUGGCGAUUGACGUUACCCGCAGAAGAAGCACCGGCUAACUCCGUGCCAGCAGCCGCGGUAAUACGGAGGGUGCAAGCGUUAAUCGGAAUUACUGGGCGUAAAGCGCACGCAGGCGGUCUGUCAAGUCGGAUGUGAAAUCCCCGGGCUCAACCUGGGAACUGCAUUCGAAACUGGCAGGCUAGAGUCUUGUAGAGGGGGGUAGAAUUCCAGGUGUAGCGGUGAAAUGCGUAGAGAUCUGGAGGAAUACCGGUGGCGAAGGCGGCCCCCUGGACAAAGACUGACGCUCAGGUGCGAAAGCGUGGGGAGCAAACAGGAUUAGAUACCCUGGUAGUCCACGCCGUAAACGAUGUCGAUUUGGAGGUUGUGCCCUUGAGGCGUGGCUUCCGGAGCUAACGCGUUAAAUCGACCGCCUGGGGAGUACGGCCGCAAGGUUAAAACUCAAAUGAAUUGACGGGGGCCCGCACAAGCGGUGGAGCAUGUGGUUUAAUUCGAUGCAACGCGAAGAACCUUACCUGGUCUUGACAUCCACAGAACUUUCCAGAGAUGGGUUGGUGCCUUCGGGAACUGUGAGACAGGUGCUGCAUGGCUGUCGUCAGCUCGUGUUGUGAAAUGUUGGGUUAAGUCCCGCAACGAGCGCAACCCUUAUCCUUUGUUGCCAGCGGUUAGGCCGGGAACUCAAAGGAGACUGCCAGUGAUAAACUGGAGGAAGGUGGGGAUGACGUCAAGUCAUCAUGGCCCUUACGACCAGGGCUACACACGUGCUACAAUGGCAUAUACAAAGAGAAGCGACCUCGCGAGAGCAAGCGGACCUCAUAAAGUAUGUCGUAGUCCGGAUUGGAGUCUGCAACUCGACUCCAUGAAGUCGGAAUCGCUAGUAAUCGUAGAUCAGAAUGCUACGGUGAAUACGUUCCCGGGCCUUGUACACACCGCCCGUCACACCAUGGGAGUGGGUUGCAAAAGAAGUAGGUAGCUUAACCUUCGGGAGGGCGCUUACCACUUUGUGAUUCAUGACUGGGGUGAAGUCGUAACAAGGUAACCGUAGGGGAACCUGCGGUUGGAUCACCUCCUUA
This 1540-nucleotide ribosomal RNA is filed under the name Klebsiella pneumoniae. RNAcentral's name for it is "bacterial SSU rRNA". It matches the Rfam family "Bacterial small subunit ribosomal RNA". Lineage: Bacteria; Pseudomonadati; Pseudomonadota; Gammaproteobacteria; Enterobacterales; Enterobacteriaceae. The record is from RNAcentral.